Passer domesticus (house sparrow) is the source of this 2253-nucleotide long non-coding RNA. RefSeq lists it as uncharacterized. The record is from RefSeq and is a predicted model, not a curated record. NCBI's taxonomy places the organism in Eukaryota, Metazoa, Chordata, Aves, Passeriformes, Passeridae. The transcript has 4 exons.
GGGAGUGCAGUAAUCAGGCAGUGCUGCAGGAAAGCACACAGUCACUCCCACAGAUGGGGAUUUGACUAUGACUGCAUGUGCUGAUUCCCUUGUGGUUCUCCCUGAGGGCUCAUGUGGCAACUGGGGAAACAUGGACCUGCAUGCUUCCUCUUGCUUCCUCUUCCUCCCUUUCCUAGGAAGCAGGAUCCUACAAAUGAUAUGCAGUUAGUCCCUCUAUUGAACCACCACAACUUCUGCAUUGUAUCUUCAGAGGAAAAGCUGUAUUUUCUUUCAGAUGAAUGCCUCUACACCUUUCCUGUACUUAACAUGGUUCAUAAGUUGCAGCUAAACACACACAGAGAGACCUUGCCAAAGAGAUCAGCAGGACAGGAGCAACAGCAGCUAAACAGUAACGCUGGACGCAGGAGAGAUUAGUUUAAAAAGUGAUUGACUGACAUCAAAGCCACUUUUCUCCUUGUGCAAACCCUCUCUACAGUGAGUGAAUUUCUAGAUUACAAUGCAUGGGAAUUUUGAUCAGUUCUGAUAGGAUAAAAUAUUGCUCUAAUGAAGAAUGAAAUUGUUCAAGAAACACACUGGAGGAAUUCUGAAUGUCCUUUAAAACCCCAGAAGAGCAAGAAAAUAAGAUGUUAACAGAACUGGAUGAACAGAAUCAUAACAGACCUUAAAGAGCUGCUUAUCCAGGUGACACCCUUCUUCAGGGUGUCACAUCUGCAUGAUGACACUCGGGAUUAAUGAGCACAGUUCAACCAGUUGCAGGGGUUGUCUUUCUUUACAGAGCUCACCUGGUGAGUAGCACAGUCCCCUCCAUUGCUGGAUGGGGCAGUCACAGCCCCUUGUCUGGGAUCAGCCUGCAAGAGCCUGGCUGUGCUCAAGUGGUGGUGCUGCAGCAGAGGGGCAGCAGCAAACUGUCCCCCAGCACCAGGAGCCUGGGAUCUCCACUCUCCUGGGAUCUCUGCCCCAUGUGGCAGGCUUCCUCACUGUGCCAGCAAGUUAUUACACCAAGGAAUCGCUCAGGGACCUAUAUCAUAUGGCUUGCACUUGUAUUGAUGGCAGACUAUUGACUGAUACAUUAAUUUCACCUAUAAUAUGUACUUAAAAUUUUAAUUAUUCACCUCAUAAACCAUGAAAGAAAAUGUCCUUGUCAAUCAGGUAGUUAAAAAUCUCCUGUUUCUAAAUAUUGUAAGGAUUUUGAAAUGCCCAGCACUAUUUGUUACUAAAAAAUCCUGCUGGCUAAAAUAUUUUUUUUUAUUGUAAAUGGUGAACUUCUCUGUUAUUGCUGCUAUGUAGUUUCUGGUAUAAAUGUCUUGACUCUGGAAAGGCAAGCCUAUUGGGGGUAACAAAAAUAGUUAAAAGGGGGAUGGUCAAGAAAAGGAGUUAUUUUUUAACAUGUAAAGAUAAUAUUGAUUAAGACAUGAUAAUGAAGUAAUAAAAUUAAUUCUUGUCAUACAAGAGACCACAAAAUAGCACAGCUUUCCUUGUCAGUGUUGGGUGUGGGGGUGUCUUUCCCACAUGCUCCAUGCUUACUUGGAAUAUAUAGGGAGAACAGUAUGGUUUAUUUUUAAAGUAAAAUUUGCUAUACCAGCUAAUGUUACAGUAAAAAAACUAAUCAUCAUUUCAGGCUCUGCUGCCUCUUUGCAAACAAGAUCUAGGAAGCAAUGCUGCCUUUCUCUGCAGGCUGUUUGUGUUUCAGUAUAAAAUGGCAAAUGUGCCCUAUGUUAGCUGGCAUUUUGUGUCUUCUAGGAAGGAAAGGUGCUUCCUUAUUGUCAUUUAUGAAGCUGGAAAGAAGAGUGGCUGAAUCAUAAAAUACAAGCAUGUAUACAAUGCAAUAGAUAGAAUAUAUGCCAGCAAAGCACUGGUUUUCACAAAGCUGGAAAGAUUUCUUAGUUUUAUGUGUCUAUUGCACUGAGAUGUAUUCUCUCAUUGAAUUUCAGCACUAGGAAUGAGGUAAAUCAAGAUCUUAGGUGAUGUAUCUCUUUUCAUGGACACAUAUUCAAUGUGAAGUUUUAAAAGUAAGCAGGGAAAGAGAGUACCAAAUCUCAUUCAAUUUCUAUGGGAAACAGUUGCCUAAUAAUAAUUUAUACCUUUCAAGUAUAUAUUUGAGUGUGGAAAACAUUUGGUGAUGCUUAGUGUUCGUUAUGUGGCUUCCCUGAAAUAGAACAAGUGCCAUGAGAAUUUGUGGAGGGAGGAAUAAUAGAUCUUAAUAAGCUCUUCACUUAAUUGUUGGGUACUGUAAAUUUGCCUCUGUGGAACUGU